This 71-nucleotide transfer RNA is filed under the name Marmota monax (woodchuck). RNAcentral's name for it is "tRNA.Ala". Lineage: Eukaryota; Metazoa; Chordata; Mammalia; Rodentia; Sciuridae. The record is from RNAcentral.
GGUUGUAGCCCAGUGGUAGAGCACUUGCUUGCCUUGCAUGCAUGAGGCCCUGGGUUCUAUCCUCAGCACCA